GACGAACGCUGGCGGCGUGCUUAACACAUGCAAGUCGAACGGUAAGGCCUUUCGGGGUACACGAGUGGCGAACGGGUGAGUAACACGUGGGUGAUCUGCCCUGCACUUCGGGAUAAGCCCGGGAAACUGGGUCUAAUACCGGAUAGGACUGCGCGGUGCAUGCCGUGUGGUGGAAAGAUUUAUCGGUGCAGGAUGGGCCCGCGGCCUAUCAGCUUGUUGGUGGGGUAAUGGCCUACCAAGGCGACGACGGGUAGCCGGCCUGAGAGGGCGACCGGCCACACUGGGACUGAGCCACGGCCCAGACUCCUACGGGAGGCAGCAGUGGGGAAUAUUGCACAAUGGGCGCAAGCCUGAUGCAGCGACGCCGCGUGAGGGAUGACGGCCUUCGGGUUGUAAACCUCUUUCAGCAGGGACGAAGCGUGAGUGACGGUACCUGCAGAAGAAGCACCGGCCAACUACGUG
RNAcentral lists this ribosomal RNA (462 nucleotides) under uncultured bacterium. RNAcentral's name for it is "partial 16S ribosomal RNA". It matches the Rfam family "Bacterial small subunit ribosomal RNA", at positions 28 to 507 of the family's 1533-position model. The record is from RNAcentral.